CAUCACUCAACAGAAGACAACCACACAACCCAACCACAAUGUGCCUGCACCACUCUCCAAGUCAUACUAACUAGUAUUGGUAACUAACAUCUCUCUAAAUGCAGCUCACUGAUUGUGGAAUAUAAAGUGAACAGGUUAAGGUGAAGCUGUGGGACUGUUGUCAAGGUGAAGCUGUGGGACUGUUGUCAAGGUGAAGCUGUGGGACUGUUGUCAAGGUGAAGCUGUGGGACUGUUGUCAAGGUGAAGCUGUGGGACUGUUUUCAAGGUGAAGAUGUGGGACUGUUUUCAAGGUGAAGAUGUGGGACUGUUUACUAGGUCAAGGUGAAGCUGUGGGACUGUUUACUAGGUCAAGGUGAAGCUGUGGGACUUUUGUCAAGGUGAAGCUGUGGGACUGUUGUCAAGGUGAAGCUGUGGGACUGUUGUCAAGGUGAAGCUGUGGGACUGUUGUCAAGGUGAAGCUGUGGGACUGUUGUCAAGGUGAAGCUGUGGGACUGUUUACUAGGUCAAGGUGAAGCUGUGGGACUGUUGUCAAGGUGAAGCUGUGGGACUGUUGUCAAGGUGAAGCUGUGGGACUGUUGUCAAGGUGAAGCUGUGGGACUGUUGUCAAGGUGAAGCUGUGGGACUGUUGUCAAGGUGAAGCUGUGGGACUGUUGUCAAGGUGAAGCUGUGGGACUGUUGUCAAGGUGAAGCUGUGGGACUGUUGUCAAGGUGAAGCUGUGGGACUGUUGUCAAGGUGAAGCUGUGGGACUGUUGUCAAGGUGAAGCUGUGGGACUGUUGUCAAGGUGAAGCUGUGGGACUAUUGUCAAGGUGGGGCUGUUGUCAAGGUGACGCUGUGGGACUGUUGUCAAGUUGAAGCUGUGAGCCUGUCUUUGUUUACUGACGUCUUAAUGGGAUGUAUGAUCAUGUCGUUAAUUUUUUUAAUUGACAUUAAAAAUAAACAUUUUAAUGUGUAUUUUUAAUGAGACAGGAAGUGACCAGUAAAGAAUGCUGCU
Oncorhynchus keta (chum salmon) is the source of this 993-nucleotide long non-coding RNA. RefSeq lists it as uncharacterized. The record is from RefSeq and is a predicted model, not a curated record. The transcript is spliced from 5 exons. Lineage: Eukaryota; Metazoa; Chordata; Actinopteri; Salmoniformes; Salmonidae.